This is a long non-coding RNA of Uranotaenia lowii, 6776 nucleotides long. RefSeq lists it as uncharacterized. The transcript is spliced from 4 exons. NCBI's taxonomy places the organism in Eukaryota, Metazoa, Arthropoda, Insecta, Diptera, Culicidae. The record is from RefSeq and is a predicted model, not a curated record.
UUCGUUUCCAAAAAUUCCCUUAUGUCCGGGUACCCAUAGAAGGUUUAAUCCAUUGCCUUCAGCAAGUUCUUCGAUUGCUUUCCGGCAUGCGAUUACCAGUUUUGAUCUAGAACUGGAAGCACUGAGUGAUUUGAUAGCUGCUUGGCUAUCUGAACAGAAAUAAAUUGUUCUGAACAUAAUCUUCUUUUGAAGUGCAAUUUGCACUCCAUACAUAAUAGCAUAUAGCUCAGCCUGAAAGACUGUACAAUAUUUUCCUAGAGGUUGAGCAUGUUCUAUGUUCAACUCGUGACAGUAAAUUCCUGCACCUGCACGGCCGUUUGAUAAUGAACCGUCAGUAUAGAAUACAAUAUGAGAGGACAUUUGGUCCUCUACGAAACCUGAUAACCAUUCUUGAGGAGAAGGAAAUUUGACUUUAAACCCCAUGUAGGGAAAACUACUCGAGAGUGUUAAAUCGUUUGGCGCUAGAUUAAACUUGUUUAAUUUAACUAAUUCAGGCCACACAUUUGUAUGACUCGAUGAUCUUUCGAUAUUUCCUGACAGCCAGAAACCAACUGCCUGUAGACGAAAAGCACAUGAGAAGGCUUCCUGUUUUAGGAACAAGUGUAGAGGUUUGAUAGAAAACAGAGCCUCUAGUGCUGCAGUAGGAGUUGUAGUGAACGAUCCGGACAUCCCUAAGAGACACAUUCUUUGAAGGUGAUUUAGUUUAGUCCGAACUGUUGCAACUUCUCCUUUCUGCCACCACACUAGACACCCAUAGGCCAGAAUUGGUCUUACUAUUGUGGAGUAAAUCCAGUGAAUAUGUUUGGGUUUGAGUCCCCAGUUUUUUCCGAUUGCACGUCGGCAUUGUCCGAAGGCCAUGCAUGCUUUUUUGAUUCUGAAUUCGAUGUGAUCAGACCAGUUUAAUUUGGAGUCAAGAAUGACACCCAAAUAUUUAACUUGAUUAGACACGGUGAUUUCGGAACCAUAAAACAGCAGAGGGCGCACCCCGCGGGUGAUACGUUUUUUAGUAAAUAAAACAAUGUAAGUUUUUAGAGGAUUAACUGAAAGUUCUACAUGAGAACACCAUCGUUCAACAGAGCGCAGAGCUUGUUGCAUUAUAUCAAAUAAUGUGCUUAUGCACAAACCUCUUACCAGCAGAAGAUAAUCAUCUGCGAAUCCAUAGGUUGGUAUUCCACGGUCAUUGAGUUUUCUCAACAAACCGUCUGCAACUAGGUUCCACAAAAGAGGUGAUAGUACACCUCCCUGUGGGCAACCACGUGUGCUAACUUUUGUUAUUGAAGCCUGUCUUAAAGACGAAUGAAGAUUCCUGUUACUUAGCAUUGCGCUAAUCCAGUUAGUUAUAACACUAGGCACUCCAUGAAGUAGUGCCGCAUCCAUUAUUGAUGUAAACGAGACAUUAUCAAAUGCUCCUUCUAUGUCUAGAAAUGCUCCUAGACAUGAUUCUUUCUGUGAAAAACUAUUUUCAAUAUUGUGUACUACGUUGUGCAGAAGAGUUAAUGUUGAUUUUCCUGUUUGGUAUGCAUGUUGUGUCGCAUUAAGCGGAUGUUGGACAAGGCAUUCUUGCCUGAUAUGAUGAUCAAUUAAACGUUCAAGUGCUUUUAAUAGAAAUGAACUUAGACUAAUAGGACGAAAGCUUUUGGCUUCGUCGUAUGAUGAUCGUCCCCCUUUAGGGAUGAAUUUCACGGCUAUCUGCCGCCAAAGUUUAGGAAUAUAUCCAUGAGCAAAACUGCUUAUCAUUAUUUUCCUUAAUAUGUGUUUGAAAUGAUCGAAACCUUUUUGAAGCAAAACUGGAAAUAAACCGUCACUUCCAGGAGAUUUGUAUUGAGCGAAACCAUCGAUUGCCCAUUUGAUCGAUUCUGUAGUAACUAUUUUCCGAGCAAAAUGCAAGGAAUCUAGACUUCCAGAAAAGAACUCAGGCUCUAUCGAUGAAUCUUGAUCAACACAUCCUGGAAAGUGAGUAUUGAAUAGACAACUUAAUGUUUCUUCGUCGUUUGAUGUAUAAUCACCACUAGGGGUUUUAAGGUAUGAAACCUGAUAAUCUUUUGAUUUGGCUAAGACUUUAUUUAGCCUACUUGCUUCGUGCAAGCUUGAAAUGUUUGUGCAGUAGUUCUGCCAACUUGAGCGUUCGGCAGCUCUUGUUGCUUUCCGGUAAGCUCUGCGAGCCAACUUGAAGGCAUCAAAACCUUCCGUGCGCCUUCGGUUCCAAGAGCGUCUGCAGUUUUUUCGUAAUUUACUGAGAUUUGAGUUCCACCAUGGUGUACUGUUUUUGUUGAAUUUCAACGUUCGUACGGGACACGCUUCUUCAUAAGAAUUUAAAAUAAUUUCGGUAGUUUUUGCAACCCCGAGCAGACUUUGAUGCCUUAAUCAAUAGCAAACAGUAACCAAAAUUAGCUAUCAAUGCCAAAAUGAUAGCAUAAUAUGGUGUUAUAUUUUUACCGAUGCCAAGAUUAGGUUCCUUUCAAGUAUCAAAAUGUUUAAUUAUGAUGACAAACCAAUACCAAAGUAAGGCAUUAAUACCAAAAUGAUAGCACUAUUAGGUGUUGAUUUUGCAACGACAGCAAAAUUAGGCAUCAUUAAGGUUUCAUUCCCUUUCAUAGAUCAGAAAAAUGAUAUCAACAUGAUAGCAUGAUUUAGUAUCUAAUUUUCUGCGACAAAAAUUAAAAAUCGAAAAUUUAAAACGAGCUGAGAAAAAAACCACGAGUUCAGUCAUUACCAACAUAGUGCGUGCAUUAGUUUGUUUUGAUUUCUCUGUGAUAGCAAAACUAGGCAUCAUUUAGAUAUUUUUAUUUUAUAAAUUUUAUUUCCAUUUCGCCAUAUGCCGAACACAAACAAAGAAUAAAAAUCAAUCAAAUGAAGAUUUUAAAUUUUAAUGUUAAACACAGCUUCAAUUAAUUUACAUUUAAAACUUAAAUUAAAGCUCAAACAUGGAUUUCAACAACCUGAGAUUUUAAAUCAAUUAACCUAAACAUAAUACCAUAAUACCACAAAAAAAUUUCUUUCAUAAAUAAUGCUGUAACAGAUAUCGAACUUUUCUCACCGCACGUUGCUCUCCCUUUGAUUUUUUCCGAAAACUACAAAGUUCAAGUUAUUUUGUUCGAUGAAUCAUUCGAAAACUCAAACAGGAGAAAGAGAGGAAGUAAUAAUGUAUGAGAUAGGAACAAAUUGUAUACAAUUCUGUUAAGCAUUUCUAAAUGUGUUACAAUUUAUUGUAAAUUUUAUUUAUUUUUCAGUAUUUCCCCCUUGUGAUGUCGCUUAUCCAAGUAACAAAAGAAGGAUUUCAAAAUUGUUCAGGCCUUAUUUGAGAUUCGCAAAAAAUAUAAUGAAUAUUAUGUGUAAUUGCAAAGACAUCCUCGAGUUUAACCAAAAAAAAACUUGGAGCUUCAAAUUGAUAGGUACAUAGCUAAAAUAAGUUCCUGUGAUAUUACAGCACUGUAAAAGACUAUAGUUUUAAUCGUGGUUUUUAUUUUAUUUUCUGAGUUAUACAAAAAACAGGUUUCAAAGAGAAUUAUUUUAUUUAACUUUUUUUUUGUAAAUUUGUUUGGCACUUAUUCACAGAACCGAGCAAACGAAUGCCACGACUACCUGCACAAAAGCACAAAAUAAGAAUAGCAAUAAAUCGAGAUUCCAUCAUUUCAUAUUACAAACAAUUUUACGUUCGAAAAAGGAUUUGCUACGAAUUACAAAUAUAAUUAAUCUAUACGAUAUAUCUUUAAGCUAACACGAUUUAACAUUUCCCGGAAGAUAUGUAGCACGCACCACAUUGCUACACUGUGAUUUUUUACAGUUAUGAAUGAUUUACGUCUACAAUACUACUUUCAGCUCAACGCUUAAUUCACUUGACCCCAGAUGUAGUUGUAGAUGCAGUUGUUGAAUGAGUCGUUUCCAGCUCUUAUCUUCUUCACUGUUUUCUUUCUCUAUAUUUUUCGGUCUUUCUCAUUCUUUCUUCUGCGUAAAAAUACUUCCAUCGCCAUGCAUCUCAUGCAAUUAUGCAUCUUAUGAAUUAGUCUAAUUUUGGCAAUCAUAACCUUCAUAAAAUCUGACUCCAUGAUGUUUCGAUCUACGAAUAGAUAAAAGAAAAACAUAAGUUAGAUCUGAUUGUACUAGACACUUUUUUUCUGGAAUACUUGAAAAAAAUGCUGCAGGAUCUGGAAUACUUGCGUUUGCCAGACCUGCAAACACUUAAGAUAUCCGUUAGGUUCCGGUAUGUUCUUGCCAAGAGAGGUUAUUGACGGAACCCAUCGCUAUAACCGCACGCCGGCUGAAUAUGAACCGCAUCUUAGAUGUUGGUUAGUUUAGGUUAGUAGGUUUAAGACCGAGUGCAGCUGGUUGGUUCACCUGUAACAGCAUUAGUAGGAGGAGUGCUGGAUUAGUAGGAGGAUUUUAUGCUCAUCAGUAACAGGGUGUAGGGAAGAAUGACCCUGGCAGAUAAACUCCCUUGAAAAAAAAAAAAAAUCAUCAGUAACAACUAUUACAGGACCAUCUUAAGAAUCUUACCUUUUUGGUCCUUCUUUAGACAGCAGAUUUUCUGUCCAUAUUCCUGAGAAUCUAACACAGCAGAACUUUUGAAUAGAAGAACCAAAGGCUGGAACGGCAGACUACGGACAAGCAGUUCCCUAGACUUCUGGUAGUGAUGGUUCUCGGUCGAUAACGGAGCACUUUUCCUGAUCGUUUUGAUGGUCAACUACUUACGCAAGGGUUUUUGCAUUGACUGAUUUCCGAGCGUUUACAAAUUCAAAGAAACAUCCGAUCAGCUGCUGGCACGAUAGUUUUUUUUCUGUUUUGUUUUGAUUUUCUGUUUUGUUUUGAGUUAUGGUUAAACACUGUGUUAAAUCAUAUUGUCGUAACUGCAAGCUACAUGAAGUGAAAAUUAUUGGAAGACGUGUAAUUUUCACGCAAGUACUGCUUGAAAUUAAAGCAAAUUGCAUGGCUCUUCUUGUUACAAGAAAUUUGCUGUAAGAUUACAUAACUUGUCAUUUCUUUUUAGUUUUUUUUUCAAAUUACAAGUUCUUUUGCAAAUACACGUAUUAUUAAAUAUUUAUUGGUUUAAAAUCCCUGAGAAAAAAGAACAAAAAAAUUAAAUAUUUAUAUCAGUGUAACACUCAUGCAUUCUUGCAGCAAAUUUCCUGUAACAAACAGGACCAUUUCAUUUUCCAAACGUCACAAAUUGUCACUAGAAAUCAUUUCUAGCGUAACAUUUCAAAAGGGCGAAACUGCCAAAUGUAAACAAAUCGAGCUAACGGUCAUUCCGGAUGUACGUGGUUGCACUUUACCUAAUUAACGCGGUGUCAUCUUAAAAUCACUUAAAACUUUCAAAAAAUUGAUAAAAUUCUAUUGGGCGAAACUUCCUGUUGAUGCAUUUUCGUUGGAACGAGAAGUUACGCCUAUUCAAAAUGGGGUUAAUUUUUCUAUUCGUGUAGUGUAACUGAAUUGACCGUGUGUGACAAAACGGCUUAAUUAGUUUUUGCGUGUAGGACCUAUGGGCGAAACUUCAAAACCAAAACAAAAACGGCCGAUCAAUUGGGCGAAACUUGCAGGCGUAGCUUAGGCGUAAUAUAGAAAAAAAAGUUUAUGAUCUUGAUAACAAACGAACAAUAGGUGAAUAUAAUGCACAUUUAAGAUUUUGUUGAACAAAAAGUGUUCGAUUUUUUAAAUAGGAUUUGAUUAGAUGUUCCGAAAUUUCAAACGCGUUUUUCUCGUUUCGAGCUAACUGCUAGUUUCGCCCUUAUGAAAUGUUACGCUAGAUUUGUCCGAUAAUUUAAAUUUCACCUCAUGAAGAUUUCAAGAACUACAACGUGAUUUAACGCAGUGUUUCUAGAAAAAUCAAAACCAAAACAAACCGCGAAUUUCGAGCAAAUGCUUGCGUGCCACGAACAGUUUAAAAACGAAGACUUCCCGUAAGUUCACCAGAGAAAAGCUUCACCCGAUCGCUACAGUCAUCCGGAAGAGCCUCGUCCAACGAACCGCAUCGUUAUCGACCGGGAACGGUGAGCUUGUCAUCGUCACCAAAAGUGCACUUGGCUGCUGAUCAGAGAGCAGCAACUCCAGCGGUGUAAUUUGUCCACUGACUUCUGAUUUUCAGGAAGGCGGCCAACUCGUUCCUUUAUCCGGUGGUGUAGCAGCAAUUAAUUCCGUUGGAGACCUUCGUAGCGGAAAAUCCUCGGAUCACGGAAACUCUUCUUGAAAGGCGUCCCGGAUUCAGUUUCAACGUCGCUCAACUGAAGAUGGCGGCUAGGAUAAAAAAAAUGCCGGAAAUGUUGAAUUAUCCAUGUAACGAGGGAUCGAGCUUCCAAAUAUUCCAGGUAAAAAGCUUAACAGAGCACAGUUGGGUUGGAUGUUCGCAACACCGACCUGGCUUUUGCGGACUAGGUCAAUUUGGAAUGUUUUCGGUAUGUCAUCCAACAACGUAGGUAACAACAAUGAAGCCAAGAGUAGGAGUGGCUGGAAUCCAAUCCAGUCCAAAUCGUUGUUUUGGUGGAGCCAACCGAAUUCGACCAACAAGUUAAGAUCAACAUCACUUCAUUCUUCGGGUUUCAUGUUGGGAACAACAACAACGCUGCAGUUCCGCAACAUUUGGGAAAGCUACAACAUCGCCGGCGCUGGAAAUGCGAACCACUUCCUAUUGGUGGUAGUAUCACAACUUCUUCAUCAAAGCUAUAUUGCAAUAAUUCGAUUGUUAGUAAGUAGAAGAAUUGAUCUAUAUGUGAUUUUUUUUUCUUCAAUUUUCAACUACCUAUAUCUAUGAAUUUUAACACUUGGACUUUUUUCAUAACAUUAAA